Molecule: ribosomal RNA, 493 nt
Filed under: uncultured bacterium
Lineage: Bacteria
Description: bacterial SSU rRNA
Rfam family: Bacterial small subunit ribosomal RNA
Source: RNAcentral
GACGAACGCUGGCGGCGUGGAUUAGGCAUGCAAGUCGAACGGUAGGAUACCUUCGGGUAUCUGAGAGUGGCGAACGGGUGAGUAACACGUAGGUGAUCUACCCUCAAGAUUGGGACAACCCAGGGAAACUUGGGCUAAUACCGGAUGAAAGCAGCAGUGAUGUUGUUUGAAAGGUGGCGUAAGCUGCCGUUUGGGGAUGAGCCUGCGCUCUAUUAGUUAGUUGGCGGGGUAAAGGCCCACAAGGCGAUGAUAGAUAGGCGGCCUUAACGGGUGGUCGCCCACACUGGGAUUGAGAUACGGCCCAGACUCCUACGGGAGGCAGCAGUCGAGAAUAGUCUACAAUGGACCGAAAGGCUGAUAGUGCGACGCCGCGUGAACGAAGAAGCCCUUCGGGGUGUAAAGUUCUUUUAUAUGUGAGCAGUGCUUUCUAUGUGAACAGCAUGGGGAAGAGAUAUUAGCAUAUGAAUAAGCAACGGCUAACUCCGUGCCAGCA